UACGGAGGGUGCGAGCGUUGUCCGGAUUCACUGGGCGUAAAGGGCGCGUAGGCGGCCGUGUGUGUGAGGCGUGAAAGCCCGGGGCUCAACCCCGGAAUUGCACCUCAAACUACAUGGCUAGAGCAUUGGAGAGGGUAGCGGAAUUCACGGUGUAGCAGUGAAAUGCGUAGAUAUCGUGAGGAACACCAGUGGCGAAGGCGAGUCUCUGGACAUUUCCUGACGCUGAGGCACGAAAGCCAGGGGAGCAAACGGG
Molecule: ribosomal RNA, 253 nt
Filed under: uncultured bacterium
Lineage: Bacteria
Description: partial 16S ribosomal RNA
Rfam family: Bacterial small subunit ribosomal RNA
Source: RNAcentral